CGAUUUUAGCAUGUAAAUCUUGUUGGGGCAAACGAAAUAAAAAAUAAUAAUUAAAAAAAACAUGUUCGAUGCAUGUUCGAACACUAAACAAUACAUGAACUGCACUAUAACGGCGACAAGCGGUGCCCACAAACUGGUGCAUGUACACUAACUAGAUAGCGGUAAAUUGCCGCACAUUGCGAAGCUACCUAACUUCAUAUUAACUAGCUAUCUUGAUGUAUUUAUCACUGUAAAAAACAAAACAAAUUCAAAAGCAAUUGUAGGUAGCGAGCUAACAGCCAUGGAGGAGGGUGAAAGGAUAGUAGCCCCAACUGUCAAAGUGAGAGAGGAGACUAUUCUGGAUAGGGCAGGUACUUUUGUGUAGUUCCUGUUCUUAUGAGGACGGCGAUAAUAGUAACAUAAAACUCACUGUGGUGUAAUUUGACUCUAACGAAGUCUGUUUCUUGUGAGGUUUUCUGUCCUCAGAUAAAGAGAGCUAUGAAAGCCUGUCUGCAUAUGAAGAGGUCCGUCCCAAUGAAGAGCAGUGGUUCUCAGUCCUGGGGACACAAAGAGGUGCAUGUUUUUUCCUCAGCACUGCACAGCUGAUUCAAAUGAUCAACUCAUCAUCAAGCUUCAAGUGAUACCUUGUAGCUGGAGAUCCCUUCAAAACAAUUGGCUACAGUUAACGUGUAGGGCACUGCAAGGUUGUGUGACCAGGGUCAUCUGGGACUGCCUCCUGGAGGAAUUCAGGUGUGUGAAGGCUACCUGUGUCCUGCAUAACUUCAUGAUGGAUGGACACGAGGACCAGGAUGGGAUCUGCAGCUCGCUGCCGUGUGCCAGAGGAGGAGUCUGCUGCUCUGCAGGAUGUUUCAAGGACGGGGUCCAACAUCACAGUAAGAGAGGCAGAUCUUCACCUUCUACUUCUUUCGAAGAGGGUGCUGUGCCCUGGCAACACCAUAGACUAGGACUUGCAUCGCGUUCAACGUCACAAAUAGAAGCAACUUCUAUUUUAGCGCCUGGCAACGCAGACGCUCGUUGGCGCAUGCGAGCAGUGUGGAUGCAAUGAUUGAAUGACAUGGAUGUGUACAUUUAUUUUGCAAUGCACACGGUGGUCAGCAUGUAAAGCCCUAUGCUGCCCGAACCGGACGAGUUGGGUGCGCAAGCGUUGCAAAAUAAACAUUGUCAUGGCUGGUUGUGAUACAGCCCGGAAUCGAAACCAGGGUGUCUGUAGUGUAUAACUGUAAAAUUAUGUAAUGUAAGGUUGAGAGAAUGCCAAGAGUGUGCCAAGCUGUCAUUAAGGCAAAGGGUGACUACUUUUGAAGAAUCUGAAAUAUUAAAUUCAAAAGGCACUCACACAUCUUGAGCAAUUGUUUUGCAGGCGCAUGGUAACAGUUGGACAAGAUGAAUGAAAAAGGAAACCGCACACUGCUCUUGAUAGUACCACUGAUCUUUACUAAGCUUUACGUAUCGGCCUCACGGCCUUCAUCAGAGCAUUUGUGAGUUUUGUUAAAUUAGCACCUUUUAAGUAGACCUAGCCCCGCCCACAUCCGUUCCAUCGAAUGGGUGGGGAAGGAAACAUUGCGACUGGAUAAUCCCUGUCAUUUCUCCUGAUUGAACUUUUGUGUUCACUAAUUCUCUGUUUGAGAGAUCGAGAGGUUUUACCGACAUAGCAGAGCCCACAUGGACAUUUAAUAAUGUAGAUAACAUGGGUGGUGGAACACGUAAUGAUGUCAUUUAUUUGGAACCGUUUUCCUGUGUGUGGGUGGCAGAAAUAUUCACCCUUCAUCAUAUUGUUGCACUGUGCGCAUCCUCUGCAUUUAUAGCCACCAUUUGGAAGAGGGCGUAAAAGAGCCUGGCUGAUUUUCUUUUGUGGCACGGACCAAUUUAUCGUGUAAAUUGCGACCUCUCCUAUACACAAUAAGUGGUGGAUUUGUUUGUGGAUCAGGAGAAACGACAGGGAUUAUCCAGACGCAGUACAUUUCAAUGACCUAAAACAUGACAUUUCCACCUUUUAGAUUUUGUGGCAUAGAGAAAGUUAAGAUAUCAGACAGGGGAGGCGAUAUAAAUAAUGCUCUGAGUUAAAGGGAAUGUUUUGGGAUUUUCACCCUCCAGACAUUAUUUCCUAAAGGACUUAAUGAUGAAAUGCCUAUGUGUGUUAUGUUGUAAAUUUGAACAUGAAUUAUGUGCCUAUUUAAGAUUACUCUUGAUGUUUUUCGUACGAUGUACCCAAUGAUUAAUUAAAACUUGCUAUGUCCUCAUAGUGGUUUUGCAGACGUGUUUAAUACGUCCUAAUUACACACUUUAUUUGAAUAUUUAUGAAAUGCAUAUUGUCAUAUUUGGUAGCACUUAUUUGUUUUUCUUUGGCCUCCAGCCCCUUUUGAUGCAUGGAACGAAUGUGGGCGGGGCUAGGUCUACAUAAGAGUGCUAUUUUUUUUAUUUUAUUCACAAAAUCUCUGAUGAAGGCCGUGAGGCCGAUAAGUAAGCUUAUUAAAGAUCAGUGAUACUAUCAAUAACAGUGUGUGUUUUCCUUUUCCCCUCAAGAACCUCAAAUAUAAAAUAUAUUUCGAUUUGUUGAACACUUUUUUGGUUACUACAUGAUUCCUUAUGUGUUAUUUCAUAGUUUCUACAAUGUAGAAAUAAAUAAAAACCAUUGAAUGAG
This is a long non-coding RNA of Oncorhynchus nerka (sockeye salmon), 2638 nucleotides long. RefSeq lists it as uncharacterized. The transcript has 2 exons. The record is from RefSeq and is a predicted model, not a curated record. Lineage: Eukaryota; Metazoa; Chordata; Actinopteri; Salmoniformes; Salmonidae.